UUCCAGAUGAUGAGUCCAAAAAAGAACGAAAUGCGCAUCCUGGUA
Molecule: non-coding RNA, 45 nt
Filed under: Trichobilharzia regenti
Lineage: Eukaryota; Metazoa; Platyhelminthes; Trematoda; Strigeidida; Schistosomatidae
Source: RNAcentral